GCGGCCAUAGAACCUUGUGAGCACCGCAUCCCGCCUGAUCUGAAAAGUUACGCAAGGUGUCGCUCAAUUAACACUGGGGUGUGGGACACUGCAGCAAUCCUUAGGUGCUGCUGUGCUU
Non-coding RNA from Ustilago sp. UG-2017b, 118 nucleotides. Lineage: Eukaryota; Fungi; Basidiomycota; Ustilaginomycetes; Ustilaginales; Ustilaginaceae. The record is from the annotation of a GenBank genome assembly.